AAGGCCCUAGUUUAGUUAAAGCAUCUGAGUUGCAAUCAGGAGAUGCAGGGUAAUAGCCUGCGGGUCUUA
RNAcentral lists this transfer RNA (69 nucleotides) under Campylorhynchus zonatus (band-backed wren). RNAcentral describes it as "tRNA-Ala". It matches the Rfam family "tRNA". From Rfam's summary of the family: Transfer RNA (tRNA) molecules are approximately 80 nucleotides in length. Their secondary structure includes four short double-helical elements and three loops (D, anti-codon, and T loops). Further hydrogen bonds mediate the characteristic L-shaped molecular structure. tRNAs have two regions of fundamental functional importance: the anti-codon, which is responsible for specific mRNA codon recognition, and the 3' end, to which the tRNAs corresponding amino acid is attached (by aminoacyl-tRNA synthetases). tRNAs cope with the degeneracy of the genetic code in two manners: having more than one tRNA (with a specific anti-codon) for a particular amino acid; and 'wobble' base-pairing, i.e. permitting non-standard base-pairing at the 3rd anti-codon position. The record is from RNAcentral. Lineage: Eukaryota; Metazoa; Chordata; Aves; Passeriformes; Certhiidae.